RNAcentral lists this ribosomal RNA (1444 nucleotides) under bacterium Kwe2. Its description in RNAcentral is "bacterial SSU rRNA". It matches the Rfam family "Bacterial small subunit ribosomal RNA". The record is from RNAcentral.
CAGGCCUAACACAUGCAAGUCGAGCGGAAACGAGUUAUCUGAACCUUCGGGGAACGAUAACGGCGUCGAGCGGCGGACGGGUGAGUAAUGCCUAGGAAAUUGCCCUGAUGUGGGGGAUAACCAUUGGAAACGAUGGCUAAUACCGCAUGAUGCCUACGGGCCAAAGAGGGGGACCUUCGGGCCUCUCGCGUCAGGAUAUGCCUAGGUGGGAUUAGCUAGUUGGUGAGGUAAGGGCUCACCAAGGCGACGAUCCCUAGCUGGUCUGAGAGGAUGAUCAGCCACACUGGAACUGAGACACGGUCCAGACUCCUACGGGAGGCAGCAGUGGGGAAUAUUGCACAAUGGGCGCAAGCCUGAUGCAGCCAUGCCGCGUGUGUGAAGAAGGCCUUCGGGUUGUAAAGCACUUUCAGUCGUGAGGAAGGUAGUGUAGUUAAUAGCUGCAUUAUUUGACGUUAGCGACAGAAGAAGCACCGGCUAACUCCGUGCCAGCAGCCGCGGUAAUACGGAGGGUGCGAGCGUUAAUCGGAAUUACUGGGCGUAAAGCGCAUGCAGGUGGUUUGUUAAGUCAGAUGUGAAAGCCCGGGGCUCAACCUCGGAAUAGCAUUUGAAACUGGCAGACUAGAGUACUGUAGAGGGGGGUAGAAUUUCAGGUGUAGCGGUGAAAUGCGUAGAGAUCUGAAGGAAUACCGGUGGCGAAGGCGGCCCCCUGGACAGAUACUGACACUCAGAUGCGAAAGCGUGGGGAGCAAACAGGAUUAGAUACCCUGGUAGUCCACGCCGUAAACGAUGUCUACUUGGAGGUUGUGGCCUUGAGCCGUGGCUUUCGGAGCUAACGCGUUAAGUAGACCGCCUGGGGAGUACGGUCGCAAGAUUAAAACUCAAAUGAAUUGACGGGGGCCCGCACAAGCGGUGGAGCAUGUGGUUUAAUUCGAUGCAACGCGAAGAACCUUACCUACUCUUGACAUCCAGAGAACUUUCCAGAGAUGGAUUGGUGCCUUCGGGAACUCUGAGACAGGUGCUGCAUGGCUGUCGUCAGCUCGUGUUGUGAAAUGUUGGGUUAAGUCCCGCAACGAGCGCAACCCUUAUCCUUGUUUGCCAGCGAGUAAUGUCGGGAACUCCAGGGAGACUGCCGGUGAUAAACCGGAGGAAGGUGGGGACGACGUCAAGUCAUCAUGGCCCUUACGAGUAGGGCUACACACGUGCUACAAUGGCGCAUACAGAGGGCGGCCAACUUGCGAAAGUGAGCGAAUCCCAAAAAGUGCGUCGUAGUCCGGAUUGGAGUCUGCAACUCGACUCCAUGAAGUCGGAAUCGCUAGUAAUCGUGGAUCAGAAUGCCACGGUGAAUACGUUCCCGGGCCUUGUACACACCGCCCGUCACACCAUGGGAGUGGGCUGCAAAAGAAGUAGGUAGUUUAACCUUCGGGGGGACGCUUACCACUUUGUG